RNAcentral lists this ribosomal RNA (406 nucleotides) under uncultured bacterium. RNAcentral describes it as "partial 16S ribosomal RNA". It matches the Rfam family "Bacterial small subunit ribosomal RNA", at positions 30 to 526 of the family's 1533-position model. The record is from RNAcentral.
AUUGAACGCUGGCGGCAGGCCUAACACAUGCAAGUCGAACGAGUGGCGGACGGGUGAGUAAUGUCUGGGAAACUGCCCGAUGGAGGGGGAUAACUAAUGGAAACGGUAGAUAAUACCGCAUACAAUCGGAUGUGCCCAGAUGGUCUGAGCUAGUGGGUGGGGUAACGGCUCACCUAGGCGACGAUCCCUAGCUGGUCUGAGAGGAUGACCAGCAACACUGGAACUUAGACACGGUCCAGACUCCUACGGGAGGCAGUAGUGGGAAAGAUGUCACAAUGGACGAAAGCCUGAUGCAGCCAUGCCGCGUGUAUGAAGAAGGUCUUCGGGUUGUAAAGUACUGUCAGCGAGGAGGCGUGACUCGCAGAAGAAGCACCGGCUAACUCCGUGCCAGCAGCCGCGGUAAUUC